GACGAACGCUGGCGGCGUGCUUAACACAUGCAAGUCGAACGGAAAGGCCCUGCUUUUGUGGGGUGCUCGAGUGGCGAACGGGUGAGUAACACGUGAGUAACCUGCCCUUGACUUUGGGAUAACUUCAGGUAACUGGGGCUAAUACCGGAUAGGAGCUCCUGAUGCAUGGUGGGGGUUGGAAAGUUUCGGCGGUCAGGGAUGGACUCGCGGCUUAUCAGCUCGUUGGUGGGGUAGUGGCUUACCAAGGCUUUGACGGGUAGCCGGCCUGAGAGGGUGACCGGCCACAUUGGGACUGAGAUACGGCACAGACUCCUACGGGAGGCAGCAGUGGGGAAUAUUGAACAAUGGGCGGAAGCCUGAUGCAGCAACGCCGCGUGCGGGAUGACGGCCUUCGGGUUGUAAACCGCUUUCGCCUGUGACGAAGCGUGAGUGACGGUAAUGGGUAAAGAAGCACCGGCUAACUACGUG
RNAcentral lists this ribosomal RNA (468 nucleotides) under uncultured bacterium. RNAcentral describes it as "partial 16S ribosomal RNA". It matches the Rfam family "Bacterial small subunit ribosomal RNA", at positions 28 to 507 of the family's 1533-position model. The record is from RNAcentral.